Molecule: transfer RNA, 87 nt
Filed under: Schistosoma margrebowiei
Lineage: Eukaryota; Metazoa; Platyhelminthes; Trematoda; Strigeidida; Schistosomatidae
Rfam family: tRNA
About the family: Transfer RNA (tRNA) molecules are approximately 80 nucleotides in length. Their secondary structure includes four short double-helical elements and three loops (D, anti-codon, and T loops). Further hydrogen bonds mediate the characteristic L-shaped molecular structure. tRNAs have two regions of fundamental functional importance: the anti-codon, which is responsible for specific mRNA codon recognition, and the 3' end, to which the tRNAs corresponding amino acid is attached (by aminoacyl-tRNA synthetases). tRNAs cope with the degeneracy of the genetic code in two manners: having more than one tRNA (with a specific anti-codon) for a particular amino acid; and 'wobble' base-pairing, i.e. permitting non-standard base-pairing at the 3rd anti-codon position.
Source: Rfam by way of RNAcentral
GUCGGAGUGGCCGAGCGGUUUAAGGCGCCAGACUUAAGAGUGUUAUGGUCCACGGUGUGGGCGUGGGUCCGAAUCCCACCUCCAACA